CGAAAUGCGAUACUUGGUGUGAAUUGCAGAAUCCCGUGAACCAUCGAGUUUUUGAACGCAAGUUGCGCCCGAUACCAUUAGGUUGAGGGCACGUCUGCCUGGGCGUCACACACAGCGUCG
Molecule: ribosomal RNA, 120 nt
Filed under: Ranunculus sceleratus
Lineage: Eukaryota; Viridiplantae; Streptophyta; Magnoliopsida; Ranunculales; Ranunculaceae
Also listed under: 1 other name
Description: 5.8S ribosomal RNA
Rfam family: 5.8S ribosomal RNA
About the family: 5.8S ribosomal RNA (5.8S rRNA) is a component of the large subunit of the eukaryotic ribosome. It is transcribed by RNA polymerase I as part of the 45S precursor that also contains 18S and 28S rRNA.
Source: RNAcentral